GGAGUUGUAGCUCAGUAGUAGAGUGGUUGCCUAGCAUGCAUGAGGCACUGAGUUCAAUCCUCAGCACCA
This 69-nucleotide transfer RNA is filed under the name Ictidomys tridecemlineatus (thirteen-lined ground squirrel). RNAcentral's name for it is "Spermophilus tridecemlineatus (thirteen-lined ground squirrel) tRNA". It matches the Rfam family "tRNA". Rfam says of the family: Transfer RNA (tRNA) molecules are approximately 80 nucleotides in length. The record is from Rfam by way of RNAcentral. Lineage: Eukaryota; Metazoa; Chordata; Mammalia; Rodentia; Sciuridae.